UACGUAGGGGGCAAGCGUUGUCCGGAAUCAUUGGGCGUAAAGAGCGUGUAGGCGGUUCGGUAAGUCGGCUGUGAAAGUCCAGGGCUCAACCCUGGGAUGCCGGUCGAUACUGCCGGACUAGAGUUCGGAAGAGGCGAGUGGAAUUCCCGGUGUAGCGGUGAAAUGCGUAGAUAUCUGGAGGAACACCGGUGGCGAAGGCGGCGUUCUGGACUGCAACUGACACUGAGGAACGAAAGCCAGGGGAGCAAACGGG
This 253-nucleotide ribosomal RNA is filed under the name uncultured bacterium. Its description in RNAcentral is "partial 16S ribosomal RNA". It matches the Rfam family "Bacterial small subunit ribosomal RNA", at positions 524 to 776 of the family's 1533-position model. The record is from RNAcentral.